UACGAAGGGGGCUAGCGUUGCUCGGAAUCACUGGGCGUAAAGCGCACGUAGGCGGCUUGUUAAGUCAGGGGUGAAAUCCUGGAGCUCAACUCCAGAACUGCCUUUGAUACUGGCAAGCUUGGAGUCCGGGAGAGGUGAGUGGAACUGCGAGUGUAGAGGUGAAAUUCGUAGAUAUUCGCAAGAACACCAGUGGCGAAGGCGGCGACCUGGGUAGAUACUGACGCUGAGGCGCGAAAGCGUGGGGAGCAAACAGG
RNAcentral lists this ribosomal RNA (254 nucleotides) under uncultured bacterium. RNAcentral describes it as "partial 16S ribosomal RNA". It matches the Rfam family "Bacterial small subunit ribosomal RNA", at positions 524 to 776 of the family's 1533-position model. The record is from RNAcentral.